CCUGCUUAAGUUCGUCACGAGUAGCUGAGGUUAUUCCGGAGGGCGCGAACUUUAAUCGGAAUUCUCCGGGCGUUAAAGCGCAUCCAGGGCGAUUCAUUAAGUCGGUUGAGAAAGCGCCGGGUCUCACCCUGGGAAUCCCCUUUAAAACUUGUGACCUAGAGUCCUGUAGAGAGGGGUAGAAUUCUCAGGUGUAGCGUUGAAAUGGGUAGAGAUCUGCAGGGAAUCCCAGUGGCGAAGGCGGCCCCCGGGUCAGAUACUGACAUUCAGAUGCGAAAGCGUGGGGAGCAAACAGGAUUAGAUACCCUGGUAGUCCACGCCGUAAACGAUGUCUCCUUGGAGGUUGUGGCCUUGAGCCCUGGCUUUCGGAGCUACCGCGUUAAGUAGACCGCCGGGGGAGUACGGUGGCAAGAUUAAACCUCAAUUGAAUUGACGCGGGCUCGCCCAAGCGGUGGAGCAUGUGGUUUAAUUCGAUGCAACGCGUAGAUCCUUACCUACUCUUGACAUCCAGAGAAGCCAGUGGAGACACAGGUGUGCCUUCGGGAGCUCUGAGACAGGUGCUGCAUGGCUGUCGUCAGCUCGUGUUGUGAAAUGUUGGGUUAAGUCCCGCAACGAGCGCAACCCUUAUCCUUGUUUGCCAGCGAGUAAUGUCGGGAACUCCAGGGAGACUGCCGGUGAUAAUCCGGAGGAAGGUGGGGACGACGUCAAGUCAUCAUGGCCCUUACGAGUAGGGCUACACACGUGCUACAAUGGCGCAUACAAAGGGCAGCAAGCUAGCGAUAGUGGGCGAAUCCCAAAAAGUGCGUCGUAGUCCGGAUUGGAGUCUGCAACUCGACUCCAUGAAGUCGGAAUCGCUAGUAAUCGUGAAUCAGAAUGUCACGGUGAAUACGUUCCCGGGCCUUGUACACAUCGCCCGUCACACCAUGGGAGUGGGCUGCAAAAGAAGUGGGUAGUUUAACCUUUCGGGGAGGACGCCAGCCUUC
Molecule: ribosomal RNA, 980 nt
Filed under: Vibrio sp.
Lineage: Bacteria; Pseudomonadati; Pseudomonadota; Gammaproteobacteria; Vibrionales; Vibrionaceae
Description: bacterial SSU rRNA
Rfam family: Bacterial small subunit ribosomal RNA
Source: RNAcentral